Molecule: ribosomal RNA, 567 nt
Filed under: uncultured archaeon
Lineage: Archaea
Description: bacterial SSU rRNA
Rfam family: Archaeal small subunit ribosomal RNA
Source: RNAcentral
CGGGGUGCACCAGGCGCGAAAACUUUACAAUGCUGGCAACAGCGAUAAGGGGACCUCGAGUGCCAGGAUACAAUCCUGGCUGUCGUAAUGCCUAAAAAGCAUUGCAUAGCAAGGGCCGGGCAAGACCGGUGCCAGCCGCCGCGGUAACACCGGCGGCUCGAGUGGUAACCGCUAUUAUUGGGUCUAAAGGGUCUGUAGCCGGCUGACUAAGUCUCUUGGGAAAUCUGGCAGCUCAACUGUCAGGCUUUCAGGAGAUACUGAUCGGCUCGAGACCGGGAGAGGUGAGAGGUACCUCAGGGGUAGGGGUGAAAUCUUGUAAUCCUUGAGGGACCACCAGUGGCGAAGGCGUCUCACCAGAACGGAUCUGACGGCAAGGGACGAAAGCUAGGGGCACGAACCGGAUUAGAUACCCGGGUAGUCCUAGCCGUAAACGAUACUCGCUAGGUGUCGGCCACGGUGCGACCGUGGUCGGUGCCGUAGGGAAGCCGUGAAGCGAGCCACCUGGGAAGUACGGCCGCAAGGCUGAAACUUAAAGGAAUUGGCGGGGGAGCACAAGGGCGAUUCGCG